CCAGCUCCAAUAGCGUAUACUAAAGUUGUUGCAGUUAAAAAGCUCGUAGUUGAAUUUCUGGACAAGGUAGUUGGUCCGCUCCUAACGGGGUGUGUACCAUACUUUCUCGUUCAUCCUCGGGGAGAGCAUAUCUGGUAUUAAUUUAUCGGGUAUGGGAUCCUCGUCAUUUACUGUGAGCAAAAUAGAGUGUUCAAAGCAGGCUUAGGCCGUUGAAUACAUUAGCAUGGAAUAAUAAGAUAAGACCUUGGUCUAUUUUGUUGGUUUGCAUUCCAAGGUAAUGAUUAAUAGGGAUAGUUGGGGGUAUUCGUAUUCAAUUGUCAGAGGUGAAAUUCUUGGAUUUAUGGAAGACGAACUACUGCGAAAGCAUUUACCAAGGAUGUUUUCA
This 385-nucleotide ribosomal RNA is filed under the name uncultured Paraphysomonas. Its description in RNAcentral is "SSU rRNA". It matches the Rfam family "Eukaryotic small subunit ribosomal RNA", at positions 585 to 972 of the family's 1831-position model. The record is from RNAcentral. Lineage: Eukaryota; Chrysophyceae; Chromulinales.